UUACCAUGCAGUCGACGCUGAAGCCCCAGCUUGCUGGGGUGGAUGAGUGGCGAACGGGUGAGUAACACGUGAGUAACCUGCCCCUGACUUCGGGAUAAGCCCGGGAAACUGGGUCUAAUACCGGAUACGACCGUCGGACGCAUGUCUGGUGGUGGAAAGUUUUUUCGGUUGGGGAUGGGCUCGCGGCCUAUCAGUUUGUUGGUGAGGUAAUGGCUCACCAAGACGACGACGGGUAGCCGGCCUGAGAGGGCGACCGGCCACACUGGGACUGAGACACGGCCCAGACUCCUACGGGAGGCAGCAGUGGGGAAUAUUGCACAAUGGGGGAAACCCUGAUGCAGCGACGCAGCGUGCGGGAUGACGGCCUUCGGGUUGUAAACCGCUUUCAGCAGGGAAGAAGCCUCACGGUGACGGUACCUGCAGAAGAAGUACCGGCUAACUACGUGCCAGCAGCCGCGGUAAU
RNAcentral lists this ribosomal RNA (463 nucleotides) under uncultured bacterium. RNAcentral describes it as "bacterial SSU rRNA". It matches the Rfam family "Bacterial small subunit ribosomal RNA", at positions 49 to 524 of the family's 1533-position model. The record is from RNAcentral.